RNAcentral lists this ribosomal RNA (652 nucleotides) under Chaetothyriales sp. RNAcentral's name for it is "bacterial SSU rRNA". It matches the Rfam family "Bacterial small subunit ribosomal RNA", at positions 257 to 974 of the family's 1533-position model. Lineage: Eukaryota; Fungi; Ascomycota; Eurotiomycetes; Chaetothyriales. The record is from RNAcentral.
UAAAAAGCUAGCUCAUGUUCCGGCAGUCGCGACUGAGAGGUCGAUCGACCACAUUGGGUCUGAAAAAAGCCCACGGCAGAUUGUACAGCAGUGGGGUAUAUUGGUCAAUAGCCUAACGGCUGAACCAGCAACUUGGAAGAAUGUAUAACGAAUAAGUCGUAUAAAAUUCUAGGUAGAAGAAUGAUAGUGACAAUUUUCUAUCUAUAAGUCUUGACCAAAUUACGUGCCAGCAGUCGCGGUAACACGUAGAAGACUAGUGUUAUUCAUCUUUAUUAGGUUUAAAGGGUACCUAGACGGAAAAUCAAGCCAUAAUAGGGACUAAUUUUCUAGAGUUUUAUGAGAGAAGGGGUGAAUUUCCGGAGGAAAGUUGAUAUUUAGUGAUACUGGAAGGACGGGUAACGGCGAAGGCAACCUUGUAUGUAAAAACUGACGUUGAGGGACGAAGCCUUGGGUAACGAGAAGGAUUAGAUACCCUAGUAGUCCUUGGAGACAAUUAUGAAUGUCAUAGGCUAGAUAAUUUAGCCUAUAAAUGAAAGUGUAAGCAUUCCACCUCAUGAGUAAAGCGGCAACGCCCAAAUUGAAAUCAUUAGACCGUUUCUGAAACCAGUAGUGAAGUAUGUUAUUUAAUUCGAUGAUCCGCGAAUAACCUUAC